Long non-coding RNA from Gigantopelta aegis, 668 nucleotides. RefSeq lists it as uncharacterized. The record is from RefSeq and is a predicted model, not a curated record. NCBI's taxonomy places the organism in Eukaryota, Metazoa, Mollusca, Gastropoda, Neomphalida, Peltospiridae. The transcript is spliced from 3 exons.
AUGAUGGUCAGGCGAACUGAUUUCACAUUUGCGCAUCAUUAUGGACAACACGUCGUAGGUUUUGGAGGAGCCCGAGACAGUUACACCAAGCACUACAAUCAGAAGAGAAACAAAUAUGGCCCAGUAGGCACAUUUCACAUCGAUAUGCGCGGAACAGGACUGAAGGUUGACGAUGACCUUGCUUGGAUGCCUGAAGGACGUUAUUCGUAUGGAGAAUGGAUCAGAGACCAUGGAAAUGCCACCGUGGACCUCCUGGCAGGCGGCUAUGCGGGCGGACUGAAACCCAUCGAGCCCAUACUUCUCAUGCAUAAUCCAAACGAUAUAUACUAAAGUUUUAAACGUCGAAGUCGGACAAUCGACAAAUGGCUUCCAGGUACAAGAAAAGUUCGUCAUCUGUUAAUCAUCUACAAAUAUAUGAAACGUGAAUCACACUUGAGAUUCGUUCAACAGUUUAACCAGGCGCCGAUCUAGGGAAGGUGCUGAGGGGAGUGCCCACCCCUUUGUUUCGCCGACGUCAAAAUAUCAUAAUACCCUGUUCAAACACCUCUUAUCACGUCUGGCGUCCCCUCCCUCUCACAAACCCCUGGAUUCGCGCCUGUUAAUAAUGGAUAUUUUGCAUUAAUUAAUAUGCUCAAUGCAUAAAUUUUAAAAUAAAACGUUUCGUAGUA